RNAcentral lists this unclassified non-coding RNA (2052 nucleotides) under Hevea brasiliensis (rubber tree). The record is from RNAcentral. Lineage: Eukaryota; Viridiplantae; Streptophyta; Magnoliopsida; Malpighiales; Euphorbiaceae.
CCAAAAUAAAUCAACAAUUGUGAAUUGUGAAGGUGCGGUGGCGCACACUGGGAAGCCAACGGUACAGUGACCUACGAUGGGUAAGAUGUGAAACCUCUCAAUCUAGAGACUGCUUUAUAAUCUGCGAGCAUCAAACUGCAAUAUGUGUUUCUUGGGCGUUUUACAUUCACUACCAACCGCUAUCUUUCGUCCGCCUGCAAUAUACGCUUCAAAUACAAGGAAAUAUGGCUGGUUGAGAGCGAAUAUCAAUGGUGAAACUGACCCAUUACUCGAGACAGCCAUGAAAGCAGCAUCACUUCGUUUCCAGGAGACGCAUAGGCCAGGCAUAUCCCUUGCCGUUAUUUUCUACGUAUUACGUGAUUUCUUUUCAUUCAGGCAUUAUAUCGAGCAGCUAACUGAGAGUGAAACACGAUUGUUUGGCUACUUCAAAUGGAAGCAAGAAUUCAAGAUUUUAGGCAUUAUCCAUUACAACUUCAAUUGAGAUUUAAUUUUCAUAUAUCAGUGCUCAUGUGUUUUUCAUAUAUUGAAUAUAAAUGUCAGUAUUUAUAAUUUUUAAUUCACAUAAAGAUUCUCAUCUCUUAUUGCAUAUAUUUAUCUAUGUUCCAAUACAUUCUGGAUUCUUUAAGAAUAUACAAGUUGUGUCUCUUAAUGAGUACUGAUGUAGCAUGCAUCAAUGCUUCACCAUGCAGAGCCGCUUUUUGUUGAUCCAUAUGCUGGUUGCUUGAUUGAUCCUACUGUACAGAUGGAUUUGAAGAAGUACCCUCACCAUUAUUGCCUUGCAACAAAAUUCAUUGAUGACAAGUUACUGCAUACAGUGAACAAUAUUGAUGGACUCAAGCAGGUUGUUUUGUUUACAGAUGGGAUGGACACUCGACCAUAUAGGCUAAAUUGGCCAACUUCUUCUAUAAUAUUUGAUAUAUCUCCAGAAAGGAUAUUUAAGAAAUCAGAUGAAAGGCUUAAAGGUGUUUAAUAUUUGACUAAUUUUAACUGGUCCAUGAUCUUCUAAGUGCAUAAUUUUGCUAGAGAGGAUAACAUGUUUAGAUUGUGAUUUUGUCAAUGUUGUGAGGGUUGGUUUUCAGAAACAAACUGAAAACCACUGGCAGUAUUUACAUUUGCUUAAUGCAGUAAAGUAAGGUUGCAUUCAUUUGAAGAAAGAGUUCUUUAUCGUUCAGGAUAUUGUAAAAGUUUCAGAAUUUCAAAAGAAUACUCUUGGCAUAAUCUUGACAACAUCUGAAAAUCUGUGCUCUGCAAAAUUUCUUCUGGUUUGGAUAAUAAAUUCAUUCUCAGUUCAAAUAAGUACUACAAUGUCAUGAUGGUAUCUUCUCAAAGAUAUUAGGUGUUGGAGCUAAGAUUCCAAGAAAUUGCAUGUUCCUUCAUGUUCCAUUGGAGUCCUCUAAUAUACAACAGAAUCUGCAAGCAAAAGGCUUCAAUGGUAAUGAGCCAAGUAUAUGGGCCAUUCAGGGACUGUCCAUUAUGACUUUGGCCAGUUUAGAAGAAAUUUUGUUCAUUGUUAGUAGUUUGGCUAUGAAUGGAUGUCUAUUAUUGGGAGAACUGCCUGCAUUAUUGGCAGAAACCGAAAUUGGGAGGAAGUCCAGCACAGAGAAAUGGAUAGACAAACUUUUCAUGACCAAUUGUUUUCGGGUGGACGUGAUUAGCUAUGAUGAAGUUGCAAGUAGUUUGGGCAAGGAAUUAGCAACAGGAGACUACAAGAAUAUACUUUUUGUUGCAGAACAGUUGCGAUUUUCAGAUGAUCAGAUGGAAACCUGGAGGAGAGAAUUCCAGAGGAUAGAGGAAGAAGGGGAUGAAGAAGGGUUUGAGGAACUCUAAAUGUGUUAAGAGGGUGAUAAGAACCUAAUGAAAUAUAUCAUCUUUUAGUGGUUCCACUAGUUUCUGAGCCACCUCAUGAAAUUGAUGUGUAAAUAAUGCAUGUACAAUUUUCUGCAUCCGAGGGGCCAAAAGCCCUGAGGGACCGAAAUGGAAACAUGGGUCAUGUCCUUGUUUUUCCCCGUCUUCCUUGUGUAAUUUUGAUUCAGGGUAUUUUAUAGAAGAAAG